Molecule: long non-coding RNA, 3113 nt
Organism: Homo sapiens (human)
Lineage: Eukaryota; Metazoa; Chordata; Mammalia; Primates; Hominidae
Source: Ensembl
UGUUUUUUUUUUUUGUUUUUUUUUUAAGACCCUGACCCUUCCUCUGGGAUACUCUUCGCCUUGGAGUAGGACCCUGAGAAGGGAGAACCGGAUGAGUUCGUGGGUGUGACCCGGGGUGAGGCGUUUGGGGAUGAGCAGUACGGGAUCUUCCGCCUUCUGGGACUCUCCUCCCUAGUGUGUUCGUGUUUGUGUCUGCAGGUUUGAGCACUUGAUAGAUUCUGAGGAGGGAUAUGUUAACUAAUCCAUAAAAAUCAGCCCAGAGUCUAAUUCCUUUUGGCGUUGUCUGUGGCUGCCUACUGGCAGGGGGCCUCAGAUUUAAAAAAAAAAAAAAAAAAAAAAAAAAGUUCUUGUGCUCUAAAACACGUCCUUCACACAAUUAGAAAGUCCUCAUUUUGGUCCAACAGCUACUUAAAACCUCAGGCCAACAUGUAAACUUCUUUAACAUGAAAAUGCACAAAAGCAAAGGUAUUUUUCACAAAGGAGACUAGAGGUGUGCAUGAUUUAGCACUUUAGUACACUUUAGUGUACAUGUACACAUUAGUAUACAUUUCCCCAAAUGAUUGCAUAAUUUCUCAUAUCUCAAGCUAUGUUUUCAUGUUUUACAUUGCUUUUGUUGUUGUUGUUAAAUAGGGCUGUUUUCUUGGGGAUGGGGGAUGAUUAGAACAUCAAAGUGGGCAAUUUGGGUAGCCAGUAAGCCAAAUUAAAGAAGGGAAGAUGAAAAAUCUACUAGAGAAAUGUUACCCAAAGCUAUCUUCGGAGAGAGAAUCGCACUGAAGAAGAGACACAUCACUUCCCUGGUUCCCUGUAGAGUCAUGCCAGGGCCUGGAAGGAAGAGAACACGACUGGGAAUCAAUUAGAAAGAAAAGUUGCUGUCUUUGGAGCCAGGGCAGGGCUGCUGUGCAGUGUUAUGUUGAUUCCUCUGGUGGCUGGCACUCUGUGAGGCUGAAGGGGCUACACCAGCGGCCCCACCACUCUCAGGGCCCCCUGCUUGCUCUCUCAGCACCUACUGAAAGCCUGUGGCAAAGCUAACAGUUUGUUAGCCCUAAGAUUUAAAAAGCUGGUAACCUAAAAUCGAACUGUCUGAAGAAGUAAUAAUAAGCCACAGUGGGUUGAAGAUCUGAUGAUAAAGUUUCAGCUAUCGGGUAUGACAGGGGGCUUUGAGACGGGUACACUUCACAUCCAGGAGAUGGUCCUAGCCAGAAGUACACCACUGCUGCUUCCUUCUUCGUUGGAAUAAGGGCAAGAUGCAGCUGAUAUCUCAAUGAGCCUUGUCUUCUUGUCCAGCUCAUCUCAAAACACUCUCCUCCUUGCUCUUUAAGGUCCAGUCACGCUGGACUUUUUUCAGUUUCCUUGAAUAGGGAAGGGUCUCACUUGCCUAAGGUAUUUUGUACAUGCUGUUUCUUCUUUCUUAAUGUGCCUCCCUUUUACCUGGCUUACUCCUACUCAGCUUUCACGUCUCAGCUUAAAUACCACUUCCUCAUAGCAGCUUCCCCUGACAGCCUCCCACCGACUACAUUAGCCCCCUAAUUAUGUUCCCAAUUCACCCUACCAAUCCUAUUUCACAAUAUUCAUUACACCAGAUUUUAAGCUAGUUCACCUGGUUAACACUGUGUCCCAACUGUCUAGCACACAGUGCCUGGUACAUCAAAGGUAACCAAGAACGCCUGGGAAUAGAUGAAUCCACCCUGCCUGGUUUGAGGUCCCUGUUUUCACCUUAGCUACGUAGCUAUCAGUUCAUGAACUUACACUAACCUUGAAGGCAGCCACUAGUUGCUGUCUUUACAGUUACUCAAGCAGAAGAAGGGAGCUGGGGGAAAGCCUGUUAUACAGAAAAUAGUUUUCUUCCCUUAAUGAGACAUUGUGUUUAUAAAGUGACUUUUUUUUUUCCUUUUCAAAACAUCUUAUAAAGGUCACUACCUGCAUUUUAAUAGCAUUGGGAAAUACUCACCUAAAGUCAUUUAUAUAUUUUCCUAAUUCUUGUCUUUCCACACCCUCUAAAGUGGUUGUGAGACCUCCGAGAUGAACGGUUUCAUUUUUCCUUAAAAUACUCCUCUACCUCAGGUAAAAGCAGCCUCCAUAACAACACGCUAUAUCUUAUGGAGAAAAAAAUGUAUUUGGGAGCAGCUAGGUAAUUUGACCAGUAUGGAUGGUAUGUCUAGUGUUAUACUUUAUCUGAAUGGACUAGGAAAUCUUUACUAUUGUCAGUUUAAAUCAACAAAUAAUUGCCAAGUCCCCUCCUCCUCUGGGACUACCUCAAGAUAUAACAGAUGUUGGAAGACACGAAAGAAAGGUCAAGGUAAUCCAAGAUCACAGGAUUCCUUGAUGGCAUAACUGGAAUUAGAAAACAGGCAUGACUGUAAGGAGGAACUACGGAAUGCUAACUACAUGCCCGGCUCUAUGCUAGGCACAUUACAUCUGUGAUUUCACUGAUAUCUUUUAAGACACCUAAUGAGGUGGAAUGCCACAUCCAAAGACAUUACAAAUUCUUCUUAUGUUAGGGAAGGCAAGACACCCCCACCUCCAACAGUUAUGCAGCAUCAGCAAAAACAGAGUCCAAAACAACUGUGCAUCACACUGGGAGCCAGUGAAGGAGAGGGAACGGAGAGCAGGUGUUCGGCUGCCUGGUGAAUGGUCCAUUUAAAAAUUCAACAAUAGUCAGAGGGGAGUAGAGAGUACAACAGCCACCACCGUAAUUGGUGAAAUCAGGAUUUCUCAAUUCAGUGUAAACUCACACCCUAAAAGAAGGCACACUAUAAAGCAGAUUUCCAUAAACCCAGCGCAUCAUUUACUCUUAACGAUAUUAUUUUAAAAGCAUGCUCUUCAGGCAAAAUCGCUGAAAGACCUACUCAAGCAACAAAAACCAGUGCUGCUUCAAUGUCAAAUCUCCCUAUGAGAUAUUAAUCAUUAGCUGGAAGAAAUAGGCAAAAGCAGUUUUUUACUGCAGAACCAACUAAUUAUCUUUCAUAACUCUUUUGAAAACCAAAUGUAAAAGCUCAAGUGAAAAACAUGUUAAAUGCAUUUGUGUCUAGACUUUGCCAAGAAAAUAAGGGAGUUUAAGUGCACAAAAUCAAAAGAUCUUACUAAACUAGAAUUUCAAAUAAAGGUAAAAAAAA